Long non-coding RNA from Equus quagga, 863 nucleotides. RefSeq lists it as uncharacterized. The transcript has 3 exons. The record is from RefSeq and is a predicted model, not a curated record. Lineage: Eukaryota; Metazoa; Chordata; Mammalia; Perissodactyla; Equidae.
UCAGCUUCUCUCUCUUUCUCUCCCUCUCUCUUUCAAUCUGUGUUUGUGUGUGUAUGUGUGUGUCUUCAUUAGGAAGUAUGAAUGAUAUAAUAUAAAUCACAGUGCUUUAAAAAAAUCAUUUUACAAAUAGUAAAUAUUUUUUUGAAUCCAUUUUCUCUACCAAGCUUUAUGGAGACACAAAAAUGAGAAUUUCAAAAUCUGUGAAUUCAAGGAAAUCCCUCUUAUGAGGCCCAGUAGAUGUGAAUACUUCAAUGAGGGAUCUGAUAUUGGCAGAUAUAAAUUACCCAACAGCCUACUUCAGGAUUGGAAAUGCUGCUUCUGAAAGAAAUGCACUGUGGAAUCAGGAAGAAUGCCCUAUUCAGGACCAUCUGUGUGUCUCUUAAAAUGUGGGUGCCUUGAAAAGCUUUGUCCCUGAGAGCAAACUUGGCUUCCCACAAGCUGCCUAACCUUGGUGAUGUUGUGCGAGAGGUUUUUCCUCAUCCCCUCUGAUGUGGACCUUUGAGAGGCUGACUUACAGAGGAGGCGAGUUUCACCCAGUUGCUGAAAUCUUGGGAAUAAGAAUGUACUGCCCGAUAAAGAAAGCAAAAUCCCAGCUGUCAAAGCAAGAUUUCCAAAUUAAAGUGGACAAGGCCCUUAUUCGUUUUCAUAUAAAUAGGUCAAAAUAAUCACCAACAGGCUGGAAGUGUGCCUACAUGGCCACAGCUGAGAAUUUUUUUCAUCUCUCUUGUCUUCCUUAGUCCUUUCAAAUACGAUGAGGGUCAGAGGCAGAUGAGAUGGAAAAGCUGAAUGUUAUUCUAAGAACCAUCCCAAGUCUUCCAAGCUUGCUUCCACUACAGCGUUACUCAAAAUAGUUUUCAUUUGUA